CCUACGGGAGGCUGCAGUGAGGAAUAUUGGUCAAUGGGCGUAAGCCUGAACCAGCCAAGUCGCGUGAGGGAUGAAGGUUCUAUGGAUCGUAAACCUCUUUUAUAAGGGAAUAAAGUGAGGGACGUGUCCCGUUUUGUAUGUACCUUAUGAAUAAGGAUCGGCUAACUCCGUGCCAGCAGCCGCGGUAAUACGGAGGAUCCGAGCGUUAUCCGGAUUUAUUGGGUUUAAAGGGUGCGUAGGCUGCCUUUUAAGUCAGCGGUGAAAGUCUGUGGCUCAACCAUAGAAUUGCCGUUGAAACUGGGAGACUUGAGUAUGUUUGAGGCAGGCGGAAUGCGUGGUGUAGCGGUGAAAUGCUUAGAUAUCACGCAGAACCCCGAUUGCGAAGGCAGCUUGCUAAGCCAUGACUGACGCUGAUGCACGAAAGCGUGGGGAUCAAACAGGAUUAGAUACCCUUGUAGUC
RNAcentral lists this ribosomal RNA (460 nucleotides) under uncultured bacterium. RNAcentral describes it as "partial 16S ribosomal RNA". It matches the Rfam family "Bacterial small subunit ribosomal RNA", at positions 338 to 795 of the family's 1533-position model. The record is from RNAcentral.